AUAGAGUAUUAUAGUAGAGAAGCUACUUGACCAAGGUUCCUAAGUCUGUCUGAGUAGCUGCAAACAUUUGGGCGAACUACACAACUCAAGGAAUAUAGAUAGCCUUUUCAGCUGUCAAAAGGGGACAGGGGAAUCCCUUUUCUACUAAUCGUCCAUCUUUGAUAUUGGAGUACAAUGGACUAUAUAUGAGAACAUUCUUACCAAUUGAUGUAUUAAAACUUAUAACUUUUGCUUAGAAGAAUUUAUGGUUCCUGAUAGCAGGGGGUUAGGGAGAGAUGUUUAGACAUUUCAAUUUUUUAAUGAAUUUAUUGAUAUACAGUAGGAACAGUUCGGCUUUCACAUUAAUUCAUACAUUUCAAAGAUUUUUCUUUGUGAUAGAAUGAUGUAAAGCUAUUAUAUAUUCUGCCCAGAAUGUCUCUCAUCUGUUUCUUUAAAAAACGUUAAAGCACCAUUGAACCAAUUUUUACGGUACUAUUAAUCAGUGUAAUCAGUAUUAAUACACUACUUUACCAGCUCAGUGCCACUUGUCAGUAAUAUGACAGGGUGAAUUUUACAUCUUCUUCACAAAGGCUUUCAUCUAUUAGGGAGAGAAAAAGGAGAUCAGGAUUUUAAUUGUUAGCAAUCAGAAGCCUAUGUGAUUAAGACAGGCAUUCUGAAUAAGACACAGCACAGAUUAUACUGAGAAUAUUUUUCAUCCUUUACUAAUUCUUUUAUGAAUUUGAAUGUAGUCUUAUUUACCUGAAACUUUAAUUAUAGACUCAAAGGAGAGUAAUAUGCCUAUUAGAAAUAUAAGAAUUUAAUGUUAAAGGUUUUAAUGUGGUUCUGGCUGGCUUCUUUCUCUCUUUAUAUCUUGGCUUGCAGUGUUCCCAAAUCCUCAGGUUUCCUCCAAAUGAAUGUUGUUGGCCAGGCACAGUGGCUCAUGCCUGUAAUUCCAGCACUUUGGGAGGCUGAGAGAUGGUGUUUCACUACGUUGCUCAGGCUGGUCUUGAACUCCUGACCCCAAGCAGUUCUCCUGCUUCAGCUCUCAAAGUGCUGGGAUUACUGAUGUGAGCCACUAUGCCUGGCCAGGUUUAGGAUUAUUAUGCGUAGAAGUUUUCUCUUAAAAUAGAAGUGAUCCUUAGAGUAGCCACAAGUUAAUUUAUUUCUAGUGUUUACAACCCAGCACAGUUUAGUUCUCAGUUAAGUUCAAUUACUUGUAAAAUCUGAGGUUCAUCAACUACAGAAUUUCACAAAAGCAAAAACUGGGAAUUCUACAGAAGUUACACUGGAGAAUGAUUUAAUAAAUUAAUGAAAGGGUGUUAACGAAUGCAAAUGUUACAGCAUUGGUGGACUGAUAGUGAGGAUAACAACAGCGAGCCCACUUACUUAUUUUCCCUUUGUGUUUCAAGUGGUGGUGAAAAUAUUCUCAGUCUUUUUUUUUUACCCGUCUGUCCUUUGGGCCUCCACAUCCCUUAGGACACCAACCUGCUUCAAAACUGCCAUAAUGACUUGCUGAAAUCGUUUAUGUCAAGGUUAAGGAGAGUAUAGAUUCUCUGCUUUUUGCAAGUAUAAAAGAGAAAAUAUGUGGAAAUUGAUUCAAUUAACUGACUACUACUGAUCAGUCAACUGAUAAGAUGAAUUCUGCAGUAAUGGAAGAUCAAGAAAUGCUAUUCUCAAGAUCUUUUUAUUCACCUCUUCAAGAAUCCUUUUUAUUUUUCUGAGAAUGGAAAGUUCUAACUAAAUUCUUUGUUGCUGGACUCAUUUCGUUUUAUUGUGGUUUAUUUAUAGGAGGCACACAGAACCAACCACCAGUCAUCCAUCGCUUGUUUUGAGUUUUUCUGUUACAAUAUUGCUG
Molecule: long non-coding RNA, 1834 nt
Filed under: Homo sapiens (human)
Lineage: Eukaryota; Metazoa; Chordata; Mammalia; Primates; Hominidae
Description: HSALNT0349209
Source: RNAcentral